RNAcentral lists this long non-coding RNA (3083 nucleotides) under Sus scrofa (pig). RNAcentral describes it as "lncRNA (ENSSSCG00000057957.1)". Lineage: Eukaryota; Metazoa; Chordata; Mammalia; Artiodactyla; Suidae. The record is from RNAcentral.
GUGACUGGGCGGCUGCUGUGGCUUCGCGUGGGAGGUGGCCGAGAACUGUGAGUUGAAAUGAGAUUGAUGUGGUGGCUCAGCCAGCUCCCUCAGGAGACGUGUCACAUCUCAAACCCAGGCCUUCAGCCCCGGGCACAGCACCCGGGCUCUGAGAAGGUGGGCUGCGGGGGUUGGAGGGGGUGGUGAGGGCUGCAAUGCCCCCAGAGAGACCAGCAGAAGUGGAGGGAGCCCCCCCUUGUCCCCAGGCUGGCAGAUCCCAGCAGGAGGAAGCGGGGACCAUACCCACACCUGAAGGCCCUCCAGGCCUCCUGCCCUUGGGCCCAAACCCCUUGCAGGUGGAGCUGGGAUUCGGUCUGGAGAAAAGGACUUUUAAAAUGAGGAAAUUGGAGUUCCUGUCGUGGCUCAGUGGUUAACGAAUCCAACUAAGGACCAUGAGGUUGCGGGUUCGGUCCCUGGCCUUGCUCAGUGGGUUAAGGAUCCGGCGUUGCCGUGAGCUGUGGUGUAGGUCGCUGAUGUGGCUCAGAUCCCAAGUUUCUGUGGCUCUGGCAUAGGCCGGCGGCUACAGCUCUGAUUCGACCCCUAGCUCAGGAAGCUCCACAUGCCACGGGUGCGGCCCUAAAAAGACAAAAAAAUAAAAAAUAAAUAAAAAUAAAAUGAGGAAAUUGAGGCCCAGAGCGAGGUGUUCGGGGCCUGGCGGGGAUGGCACGGCUGAGCUGGAACUUAGCGAAGUUAAUUCUCGGUGAUUUCCUUCCUCUUCCCCUCUUUUCUGUCUUACUUCCCCGCCUCUGGGGGCAUUCACGCCAGUGGCAGAGAGGCAGGGGUCCCUGUUCUCUGGGGCAGGAGGGCUGCUCUGCGUGGCCCCAGGGCUCUCUUUCUUACUGCAUUUUAGAAAGCAGGCAAAAUUCACCGACCAUAGCAUCCACCCUUUCAAGUGUGCCGUUCCGUGGUUUUCAGCGCAUUCACCAUUGCCGUGUGUUUUAAGAGAUUGCGACGCUUCCGUUCCCAGGCCCGGUGGCUCCUGGUGUCACAGCCAUGGCAAGUUACCCCAUCUUCUGUGCCUCCGUCUCCCCUACAUCUGACAGAGACGGUGGCCGUCCCUACCCCAGAGCGCUGGCGUUGGGCUCCGUGGCGCACGCACAGUAGGUGCCCCUGUGACAGCUGCCAUCACGAUUCACGAAGCCACAGGCCCUGGGCCACGUGGGAACAGAGGGACAUGAACAGCCCAGACUGCCUUGCAGAGACUCAAAGCCUCGGAGCAGAAAUUGCUAUUAGCUACAAGAGGGAGAAAAAGUGGGAACAGCUUCCUCGGGUACCGUUCCUACAGGACAGCAGGUGUUGACACGUGACUGUCCCCGCGGAGCCAAUAAUCCCUCUUCUGAGUCAAGCCCCGUGCUAUGCCCCCCACUGUCAAUUUCUCCAGCUUCUAAAGGAAGGGGGUGUGGGAUGGAACGGGCAGGGGUGGGUGUGCCGCCUCCUACGUGGGGCACUGAGAACAGGUGCUUGGUUUCCGUUGCCUUUGGAGACGGUAGGAUGAGGGAGCACUGGGUCAGCUCAUCAUUCCAAAUCCCAGCCUCCCUCCUUAGACGUCUGCAGAAGGAACAGAGCAGGUAUCACCCGCUGCAGAGAGCUGGGCGCCAGUGGCUCACCCUGCCCCCCCCGCCCCCGCCCAGGAAAGCACCCAGCAUCUCCCAAGCUCAGUGCCUGCAGGACGACGCUCAAACUCCCAGCACAGCCUGGCCCUGGGGGCGAGGACCUGCUUGGCUUCCCCUGUCCGCCCCUGAUGCGAGCUUUCCGCUCUGGCUCCUGAGUGUCCCCCGGAUGCUUGUGGGCGGGCUGCAGACUUCAGUUUGUCUUUUUGUCUUGGUAGCCCAGGUACUUAUCCAGCACAUAGUCGGUCCCCUUAAAUGUUUGUUGAGGGACUCAGUGAAGCCGAGGUGUGCAGUUCCUGUGUCCUGGGACCCCAGGCAAGUCCAGUCCUGUCCCCUGGGGAGAUGUCUGAAUACAGGGGAUGCCGGAGGCGGAUCUUGCCGCGCGUGAGAAGUGAGACCCUUCUUUGCUGCUGGCACGUGGUCCUGCCAGAGCGCCGUUGCCUCACCUGCCGGGGUCAGUGGUGCUUGUCCUGGGGAGGAAGGUCCAUGGAGUGCGCAGUGACAGUGGCCCGUUUCCAAAGAGCCUCUGAAAGCACCUGCUGGAUUAGACCUUUGGUGGCCCAGGUAUGUGUGGCCGCCGAUAGCAAUGACAAGGGACAUUUUGUGACCAGAGGUGGUGUUUUCAUCCUGCGACAUCACUUUCAAAAGGUUAGGAACGAGCCUGGAAUGUCCCCUGGGGAGUUCGUUGUGGGUCUGUGACUUCACAGGGUGAAUUCACGAUGCCGGAUGCGGAGAGGCCUGGCCUGAGCGCCAGCGCCUGUGUCUGGGGCCAUCGUGAGCGUGUCGUGGCCUCUCCAAGUCCCGGCCCCGUCCUGGCUUUGCCCUGGAUUUGCCCAGAGGACCUCAGACAAGGGCGUCUCUCCAGGUUCAAUGUCUCUCCACGCGACAUAGAGACAGUGCUGCGGGCAUCACACAGGUGCGUCACUGAGCCACCCGGGGGGCCUGGCUCCCAGGGCGUGGUCAGCAGGGGCGUGAGCGGUGCCUUGAAGCCAUGCGAGGCAUCCUCAGCUUCGUUCUUUCUCACUGUGGAGGAAGCACGCCUGGUGCUCCUCCAAACCAAACCCUCGCUUUCCUCCUCUGUCCUAAAACUCCCCCCAAACAGCUGUCCCCCUGCAUGUGCUCAGGGCUUAAGGAGGGGCCCCCACCCCUCCUGCCCCCCAUUCUGAAGUUAAGUACGCUGACCCACCCACCUGCAGGAAGGCCUGGAAGCCAGCCCCCCGUGAAAGAGCAGCUCACAUUAUUAAAUGGCUAAACCUGGAGUUGCAGUCUGACUCAGCCGAUUAAGAAGCAGAUUCGUAUCCAUGAGAUGUGGGUUCGAUCCCUGGCCUUGCUCAGUGGGUUAAGGAUCCGGCAUUGCCGUGAGCUGCAGUGUAGGCCACAGACAUGGCUCAGAUUCUUCUUUUCUGCAGCUGGGGCGUAGGCCAGCAGCUGCAG